GCUCCUUCUCCCAUACCCAUUGCAUAUCGGAGUUGUGAAUUCUCAAAACACCUCCUGUGUGCAUGGAUUACAGGAGGGUGAGC
Molecule: microRNA precursor, 83 nt
Filed under: Callithrix jacchus (white-tufted-ear marmoset)
Lineage: Eukaryota; Metazoa; Chordata; Mammalia; Primates; Cebidae
Description: microRNA cja-mir-660 precursor
Gene: cja-mir-660
Rfam family: mir-660 microRNA precursor family
Source: miRBase by way of RNAcentral